CAAUGAAAUUGAUCUCCCCGUGCAGAAGCGGGGAUAACACCAUAAGACGAGAAGACCCUAUGGAGCUUUAGACAAACGACUGAACCGUAUUCCCUGGCCCCUUCUCACAGGAACUAAAUUUAAUGGACCCUCUUUCAAUGUCUUCGGUUGGGGCGACCAUGGGGAAAACAAAACCCCCAAGUGGAAUAGGGGUAACGAAAACGUCGAUUACACCCCUUAAGGUAGAGCGACAGCUCAACACAACAGAAAUUCUGACCAAAAUGAUCCGGACAUUCCGAUCAACGAACCAAGUUACCCUAGGGAUAACAGCGCANUCCCCUUUUAGAGUCCAUAUCGACAAGGGGGUUUACGACCUCGAUGUUG
Molecule: ribosomal RNA, 363 nt
Filed under: Pseudorhombus pentophthalmus (fivespot flounder)
Lineage: Eukaryota; Metazoa; Chordata; Actinopteri; Pleuronectiformes; Paralichthyidae
Description: partial 16S ribosomal RNA
Rfam family: Bacterial large subunit ribosomal RNA
Source: RNAcentral